GACCCUUAGGAAACUAGGGGUGCUUCCAUCUGGAAGAAUCUGGAGACAGGUGCUGCAUGGCUGUCGUCAGCUCGUGUCGUGAGAUGUUGGGUUAAGUCCCGCAACGAGCGCAACCCUUGCCUUUAGUUGCCAGCAGUUCGGCUGGGCACUCUAAAGGGACUGCCGGUGUUAAACCGGAGGAAGGUGGGGAUGACGUCAAGUCCUCAUGGCCUUUAUGACCAGGGCUACACACGUACUACAAUGGCCGAUACAAAGGGCAGCGACACUGCGAGGUGAAGCCAAUCCCGUAAAAUCGGUCUCAGUCCGGAUUGGAGUCUGCAACUCGACUCCAUGAAGUUGGAAUCGCUAGUAAUCGUGGAUCAGAAUGUCACGGUGAAUACGUUCCCGGGCCUU
This 393-nucleotide ribosomal RNA is filed under the name uncultured Desulfobulbus sp. RNAcentral describes it as "bacterial SSU rRNA". It matches the Rfam family "Bacterial small subunit ribosomal RNA", at positions 994 to 1382 of the family's 1533-position model. Lineage: Bacteria; Pseudomonadati; Thermodesulfobacteriota; Desulfobulbia; Desulfobulbales; Desulfobulbaceae. The record is from RNAcentral.